CCCAACAAAGAACAUGAAACAAUAUAAUUAAAAAAAUACCAUCUUUAUGAAAUAUAUCCACAGCUCAGGCAAUUUCACAUCAACAAAAAAGUAAACAAUUACAAUUUUUAUUGGUUGAUAAAUUACAUCAUCAGAAGCAGGUGUUGUAAACUCAAAAGCUCCAUAAAUUGCCAAAAAUCUUCAACCCAACCAUAUUCCACUCAUAUUAACAAAACUACAUCAGAAAACCAAUUCUAACUAAACAAUUAAUCUAAAAUACCUCAUUUAACUUGUCUAAGGUUGCAACGGCAUUUGCUUCUUGCGUUUGCCAAAAACUCGCGCAAACAUGGUUAAUUGACCUCUACGAUUUACUCUAAUAGACUCAAAAUUAUUCACAAAGCCUGCAAAACAAAAAUUAACAAAAAACUUCAAUCGGAUUAUUCUACCGAUCUGCUAAUACAUACACCAAUUGAUAUAUAUUAUAUGUAUGUAUACGUACCUGAAAUACAAAGGAAAUAGAUGUGAGCUGUGAAUUAAUCCGCACUCAAUUCGAUUAUUCUGGUUGUUCUUCAUUUUUCUGUCACUUAGAAUUACAAUCUGUUGUAAGAGAAAUUAUGGAAUCAAAAGCAUCUCAAAGAUACUCACCAGUUAACUUCGUCGGCAACAAAAAUCGAACGAUCGAAUUGCUCCAUCCUUCAUCCUCUGCCGCCAUUGAUAUCGUUUAUGGCUGUGAGUUGUUGUUGCAACCCAAUUCUAGGGUUUUAUGGGAUGGGGAGGAGAUCGAGAGAAGAGGAAGAAGAAAAUAAUUGCAAAAAGUAGAGAAACUGAAAUUGGAAGAAGAAAAGGGGGAGAAAAAUGAAACAUUCUUGAAAGAAUUGGAAAAGGCGUAUAAAAAAUAAUGUACUUCUUCAAUAGAACCGAGUUAACUCAGUAAAUUAAGUGGGAUUGACUCACCGAAUUUUGAAAUUGAUUGUCAAUUGUUUCAAAUUAAUUGGUUGUGCUGUAUUUAUAUAUAUGGAUUGAUGGAUUGAAGAGUAGUCACGUGAGAGAGUGUCAAACCAAGGAACUCAACCCAAGUGGUUAAAUACCGUUGCCCUUAUUUUCCCCUCUCCGUGUAUUUCUCUCUAUAACACACACUGACACUACAUUCUUCCUAAAUAUAGCCAAAAAUCACCAUCCAUUCUUUAUUAAGGUGUCCUAUUUUCCCAAAAUCAAAUAAACAAAUGCAGAUUCUCAUCCAAAUAUAAUAUAACAACUUACUUGUCUCAAUUUUUGGUUGAACGGCCGUGAUGGGGAGGUCAAGGUCCAUCCCCGGAAAACCGAUCACCGCCGGAUUUCACAAUCGCCGCCUCCACGGGGUCGGCCGCCUCGUCCUUCUCCACCUGCCUAUCAGUCAUACACGAAGUGGUUACCUUUGAUGGCCCCAAUCAUAGCUAUGGCUAACAUUGUCCUUUUCAUAGUUGCAAUGUACCAAAAUAAUCUUUCCAGCCCACCCGCGAUAAUCCUCUCCUUGGUCCUUCUGCCAAAACGUUAGUCCCUAUAAUUCUUUUUUAUCACUAUGAGAAAAUCUUUGAAGUUUUUUUUUUCACACUAAUGUGUUGUUAUGAUGCAGCAUUUUUUUUGGGGGUUUGGACAUCUUAAAUUUG
Molecule: long non-coding RNA, 1625 nt
Filed under: Panax ginseng (ginseng)
Lineage: Eukaryota; Viridiplantae; Streptophyta; Magnoliopsida; Apiales; Araliaceae
Description: long non-coding RNA (PGIN_LNC007986)
Source: RNAcentral